CUACGUGCCAGCAGCCGCGGUAAUACGUAGGUGGCAAGCGUUGUCCGGAAUUAUUGGGCGUAAAGCGCGCGCAGGCGGAUUGGUCAGUCUGUCUUAAAAGUUCGGGGCUUAACCCCGUGAUGGGAUGGAAACUGCCAAUCUAGAGUAUCGGAGAGGAAAGUGGAAUUCCUAGUGUAGCGGUGAAAUGCGUAGAUAUUAGGAAGAACACCAGUGGCGAAGACGACUUUCUGGACGAAAACUGACGCUGAGGCGCGAAAGCCAGGGGAGCGAACGGGAUUAGAUACCCCGGUAGUCCUGGCCGUAAACGAUGGGUACUAGGUGUAGGAGGUAUCGACCCCUUCUGUGCCGGAGUUAACGCAAUAAGUACCCCGCCUGGGGAGUACGACCGCAAGGUUGAAACUCAAAGGAAUUGACGGGGGCCCGCACAAGCGGUGGAGUAUGUGGUUUAAUUCGACGCAACGCGAAGAACCUUACCAGGUCUUGACAU
RNAcentral lists this ribosomal RNA (487 nucleotides) under uncultured bacterium. RNAcentral describes it as "bacterial SSU rRNA". It matches the Rfam family "Bacterial small subunit ribosomal RNA", at positions 501 to 987 of the family's 1533-position model. The record is from RNAcentral.